RNAcentral lists this ribosomal RNA (450 nucleotides) under uncultured bacterium. Its description in RNAcentral is "bacterial SSU rRNA". It matches the Rfam family "Bacterial small subunit ribosomal RNA", at positions 29 to 524 of the family's 1533-position model. The record is from RNAcentral.
AACGAACGCUGGCGGCAUGCUUAACACAUGCAAGUCGAACGAGACCUUCGGGUCUAGUGGCGCACGGGUGCGUAACGCGUGGGAAUCUGCCCUUUGCUACGGAAUAACUCAGAGAAAUUUGUGCUAAUACCGUAUAAUGUCGUAAGACCAAAGAUUUAUCGGCAAAGGAUGAGCCCGCGUAAGAUUAGCUUGUUGGUGAGGUAAAGGCUCACCAAGGCGACGAUCUUUAGCUGGUCUGAGAGGAUGAUCAGCCACACUGGGACUGAGACACGGCCCAGACUCCUACAGGAGGCAGCAGUGGGGAAUAUUGGACAAUGGGCGAAAGCCUGAUCCAGCAAUGCCGCGUGAGUGAUGAAGGCCUUAGGGUUGUAAAGCUCUUUUACCAGGGAUGAUAAUGACAGUACCUGGAGAAUAAGCUCCGGCUAACUCCGUGCCAGCAGCCGCGGUAAU